RNAcentral lists this ribosomal RNA (1352 nucleotides) under uncultured bacterium. Its description in RNAcentral is "bacterial SSU rRNA". It matches the Rfam family "Bacterial small subunit ribosomal RNA", at positions 28 to 1381 of the family's 1533-position model. The record is from RNAcentral.
AUUGAACGCUGGCGGCAUGCCUUACACAUGCAAGUCGAACGGCAGCACGGAGCUUGCUCUGGUGGCGAGUGGCGAACGGGUGAGUAAUAUAUCGGAACGUACCCUAGAGUGGGGGAUAACGUAGCGAAAGUUACGCUAAUACCGCAUACGAUCUAAGGAUGAAAGUGGGGGAUCGCAAGACCUCAUGCUCGUGGAGCGGCCGAUAUCUGAUUAGCUAGUUGGUAGGGUAAAAGCCUACCAAGGCAUCGAUCAGUAGCUGGUCUGAGAGGACGACCAGCCACACUGGAACUGAGACACGGUCCAGACUCCUACGGGAGGCAGCAGUGGGGAAUUUUGGACAAUGGGCGAAAGCCUGAUCCAGCAAUGCCGCGUGAGUGAAGAAGGCCUUCGGGUUGUAAAGCUCUUUUGUCAGGGAAGAAACGGUGAGAGCUAAUAUCUCUUGCUAAUGACGGUACCUGAAGAAUAAGCACCGGCUAACUACGUGCCAGCAGCCGCGGUAAUACGUAGGGUGCAAGCGUCAAUCGGAAUUACUGGGCGUAAAGCGUGCGCAGGCGGUUUUGUAAGUCUGAUGUGAAAUCCCCGGGCUCAACCUGGGAAUUGCAUUGGAGACUGCAAGGCUAGAAUCUGGCAGAGGGGGGUAGAACUCCACGUGUAGCAGUGAAAUGCGUAGAUAUGUGGAGGAACACCGAUGGCGAAGGCAGCCCCCUGGGUCAAGAUUGACGCUCAUGCACGAAAGCGUGGGGAGCAAACAGGAUUAGAUACCCUGGUAGUCCACGCCCUAAACGAUGUCUACUAGUUGUCGGGUCUUAAUUGACUUGGUAACGCAGCUAACGCGUGAAGUAGACCGCCUGGGGAGUACGGUCGCAAGAUUAAAACUCAAAGGAAUUGACGGGGACCCGCACAAGCGGUGGAUGAUGUGGAUUAAUUCGAUGCAACGCGAAAAACCUUACCUACCCUUGACAUGGCUGGAAUCCCCGAGAGAUUGGGGAGUGCUCGAAAGAGAACCAGUACACAGGUGCUGCAUGGCUGUCGUCAGCUCGUGUCGUGAGAUGUUGGGUUAAGUCCCGCAACGAGCGCAACCCUUGUCAUUAGUUGCUACGAAAGGGCACUCUAAUGAGACUGCCGGUGACAAACCGGAGGAAGGUGGGGAUGACGUCAAGUCCUCAUGGCCCUUAUGGGUGGGGCUUCACACGUCAUACAAUGGUACAUACAGAGCGCCGCCAACCCGCGAGGGGGAGCUAAUCGCAGAAAGUGUAUCGUAGUCCGGAUUGUAGUCUGCAACUCGACUGCAUGAAGUUGGAAUCGCUAGUAAUCGCGGAUCAGCAUGUCGCGGUGAAUACGUUCCCGGGCCU